UCUUUAAAAUUCCAGAGUCUAUCCUAAAUUGAGGUAAAUUAUAUGGCCUUCCAAAUACUGUUUCGAUCCCUAACAUCACUGAAGAGACAUUAGUUGUCGAAAUCCGGAUAUGGUGUAUAAAAUUUUUGCACCUCAUGUUUGUGGUAAACCAUCUUUUCCACAAGUUUAUUGUUUUCUGUUUGGUAUUAAAUUAAUAUUAAGAUCCAUUUUAUACUGGUGAUCAAUUUAUUUGGCAAUCGCCAAUGGCAGUCAGCAGGGUUUAAGAACAUCCGUUGUUCGACCUGUUAGUCAAAUGCGUUUUGUGAAAAUAUACUUUUUCACUAUUUUGGUCUUUUGGAAAAUGUUAUUUGUGCUGUAUUUAGACCCCUCUACCAAGAAAUUUGUUUUACAUGCACACGUAUAAAAAUUGCGGUUUUUAUCCAACGCAAUCAUAGGAUUGGACGUUGUUUUCAAUUUAGACUUGUUUAUAUUAACUACAUGUAUACACAACUUUACAGAUAUACAAUUUAUAUGAAUUUUCACAGUUAACAUGCAUCUCAACGAAAGUACAGUUACAUUUUAUAUGCAGAUGUGCAGUUUAUAUGCAUCUUAACCGGUAUACAGUAAAUAUGCAUCUCACUAAAUGUACGUUACGAUUACUGUUACUAAAGUAGCUGUGUAAGCCGCAUACUAAAUAUUGCUCGAAAUAUUGAUAUGAAAAACGAAGAAAAAAUAUACAAUUGAAAAAAAUACAUUUGAAAUACAAGACACAGAAUAUAUAAUCUUAAUACAAUCUAGCCCAAAAGGAUUCUGAUUGUAUCUGUUAGACUUGGCAUACAUUUUAUCAGAAAUAUCACAUUGUGAGAACUCUGUUAUUAAUGAAAAAGCAUUUUUUUCCCUAGACUGGGAGUUUUAUUUGGGAUUGAGUCACAAGUUAAAGCACUUUGUUUUAGCUUUUCAAAUUCAAGUAAAUUUAACUAUCAAUUAUCGGGUUUCGUGUAAUUCAUAAACGAACCAACUGAUUUUUAAAGUUUGUUCUUAUGUUGUGCUAUUACACCACUGUCCCAGGUUAGGGGAGGGUUGAGCGCUCACAAACAUGUUUAACCCCGCCACAUUCCCAAGACAGGAACCUGUAGUUCAGUGGUUGUCGUUGGUUCAUGUCUGUCAUAUUUGUUUUUCGUAAAGUGUUUUGUUUAAAUUAGGCCGUUCGUUUUCUCAAUGGAAUUGUUUCAUGUUUUCAUGUCGGGUCCUUUUAUAGCCGACUAUACAGUAUGGAUUUUUUCUCAUUUUUGAAGGCCGCACGAAUGCCUAUAAUUGUUUACAUCCACUUUAUUUGAACUUUGGUGGAUAGUUGUCUCAUUGGCAAUAAUACCACAUCUCCUUCUUUUUAUAUAGUACAAAUGCCUACAAAUACCACUAUUAGAGGUAUACACUAUAAUGUUCAUGAGCACUGGUCUUAAUCUCAUCAACAGGCGUAUUGUACAUUGUAUGUGAUCUGUUUGUCUUUUGAGGCAUAACACAUUGUAUACAAAUAAGGAGAUGUGGUAUGACUGCCAAUGAGACAACUAUCCAGCAGAGACCGAAGGACAGGAAUGUAAACAACUCUAGGUCCCAAGUAAGGAGAUGUGGUAUGCUUGUCAAUGAGACAACUAUCCAGCAGAGACCGAAGUACGGGAAUGUAAACAACUCUAGGUCUCAAGUAAGGAGAUGUGGUAUGCUUGUCAAUGAGACCAAUACACAACAGAGACCGAAGGACGGGAAUGUAAACAACUCUAGGUCUCAAGUAAAGAGAUGUGGUAUGCUUGUCAAUGAGACCAAUACCCAACAGAGACCGAAGGACGGGAAAGUAAACAACUCUAGGUUUCAAGUAAGGAGGUGUGGUAUGCUUGUCAAUGAAACCAAUAUCCAACAGAGACCGAAGGACGGGAAUGUAAACAACUCUAGGUCUCAAGUAAAGAGAUGUGGUAUGCUUGUCAAUGAGACCAAUAUCCAACAGAGACCGAAAGACGGGAAUGUAAACAACUCUAGGUCUCAAGUAAAGAGAUGUGGUAUGCUUGUCAAUGAGACAAAUGUCCAACAGAUACCGAAGGACGUGCAUUUAAUCAAAGGCCUAAUUUGUGAUUUAUAAAUGUAGUCAAUAUAACUUGUGUUUAUUAAAUCUAAUCAUAUAAAACAAUAAAUAUUACAAUGUACUACAAUGUACCGGUAUUACAGAUGUUUGCCAAAAUACAUUACAUUUGGCACCGUCAUUAAAAUGUUUAAAUUUGGACUUACCAUUAGCGGUGGAUCCAAUGUUCAAAAUGAAGGCGAGUAGUUGCCUACCGAAAACGAAAAAAUGACUGCAGUAAAAAAUAAGAAGAAUGGAAAAAUGUAUCAAAACAAAAUUUCGGCCUUAGGGGGUCCGGGUCCCUUCGUCUAGAUCCACUAUACGUCCAAACUAUAGUUGGGGUUGUUUUUAUAUUUUGUAAAUGAUCCGUCAUAUAUAUAUAUAUAUAUAUUACCCAUUUGCAUCUGUUGCACCAAUAGUCAGGAAAACAGAUGUGCAUCCAUGAAAUUUUAGAACAAUUCGUACAAAUACAGUUUGAAAUAUUAUGCAUGCAGUUGAAAUAAAUUUAUAAAUUAUCACAUCAAUUCACUAUUAUAGAAUGUUGUGAUAAUGGUUUUACAAUAAAAGUGUUAAAAUCAUUAUAAUCAUAACCAUUCCAAUGUAUUACAGUAAUGUCAUAUUAAAUCACAUAACUAUAUUUGUAAAAACUUUCAUGACAAAGAAUGCACCAAGACUUCUAUAUAUCAAUAAUAUCAAUAGUACGUCAAGAACUAGCAAAGUUAGAUAAGAAAGAAAAACUGUACAUGUAUAGAUUAUCGGUUUUCUACACAUUGAUAUCGUAAAAUAUCAGCCGCGAUGUACACCGUUUUUGGCAAGUGAGCGUAGCGAACGAGCACAAAAACUUCACAUUGUUUCGAGCGACUGAUAUUUUCAAUCUAUAUUAGCGAAGGGAAGGACGAAAAAUAAACUUAUGUCUCAUUUGCAUUCAUUAUCUAUUUUUUUUGUUUUCAUAGCCUCUGUAAGGUAAUUUUUUUUGUUAAGGCAUAAUGAUGUCUCCCUAUUUCUUCAUUUGUAAAAUCAUCAUUGAAAGAAGUUUAUCACACGAUAAUAGCUCGUCAAAUGGAUUACUUGCAUUUUGGUCGAUACAAAAUUUGCUUAAACAAUCAAACACAUUCAUUAGUCGGCCAAUAGAAUAGGGAGCAUUACAUUUGCGCGUAUUUGGGGAUUAUAUUUUUUUAAGUUUGCGCGCAGUUUUUUCGUGUUUGUGUAUAAUGAAACGGAUUUAGCCUGCUCGAAACCCAAAUUCCAUCUCCUCGUUGGUGAGCCGAUGUCUUCGACUAACUGAAGGGUUACUUGUAAUUAGUUAAUUAAAUUAAUAAAUAAGUAUAAUUUUUACACGCGUUUGCCUAAAUUUACAUGAAUUUACAUGUAAGAUGAAUGCGCACAUAUGUAGUCAAAAGCUACGCGCAAAAGUAAUAAUUUUUACGCGCAAAUGUAAUAGUAAUGUGCGCAAAUGUAAUGCACCGAUAGAAUAAGCCUUUGGAAUAAGGUACAUCGAUUUAUGUUGAAAAUGUUUGAAAUCAGAACCAAAUUUGGCAGUGGUCAUUAUAUCGAAUUUUAAGCUACCCACGUGACCUGAUGUAGAAUUUAAUUUGUGAACAACCCAAAAUAUGCAAUCGCCACUACUACUUUUACGUCAUAUAUCAAUUAUACUAUUUUUAAAAUUCUCUUCUGCAUACAAUACACAAUUUAAAGAAAACACAUUUUUUAUCAGUUCCAGUACAUUUAGGGAUUAUAAUAGCUAGUAAUACAAAAAAGAACACCCCAAAAAAUAUUACAAAUAUAACACCACACUAGUAUUAAAACUAAUUCAACCAUUGUUUGAAAAAAUCUACUUUAAAAUUAUUUACCACAUUUUUU
Long non-coding RNA from Mytilus californianus (California mussel), 3946 nucleotides. RefSeq lists it as uncharacterized. The transcript is spliced from 2 exons. The record is from RefSeq and is a predicted model, not a curated record. NCBI's taxonomy places the organism in Eukaryota, Metazoa, Mollusca, Bivalvia, Mytilida, Mytilidae.